Molecule: ribosomal RNA, 852 nt
Filed under: uncultured crenarchaeote
Lineage: Archaea; Thermoproteati; Thermoproteota
Description: bacterial SSU rRNA
Rfam family: Archaeal small subunit ribosomal RNA
Source: RNAcentral
GGAUAGCCAUGCGAGUUAACGUAGCAAUACGUGGCAUACGGCUCAGUAACACGUAGUCAACAUGCCCAGGGGACGUGGAUAACCUCGGGAAACUGAGGAUAAACCGCGAUAGGCCAAGAUUUCUGGAAUGAAUCAUGGUUUAAAUCUAUAUGGCCCCUGGAUUGGACUGCGGCCGAUCAGGCUGUUGGUGAGGUAAUGGCCCACCAAACCUGUAACCGGUACGGGCUCUGAGAGGAGGAGCCCGGAGAUGGGCACUUAGACAAGGGCCCAGGCCCUAUGGGGCGCAGCAGGCGCGAAACCUCUGCAAUAAGCGAAAGCUUGACAGGGUUACUCUGAGUGAUUUCCGCUAAGGAAGUCUUUUGGCACCUCUAAAAAUGGUGCAGAAUAAGGGGUGGGCAAGUCUGGUGUCAGCCGCCGCGGUAAUACCAGCACCCCGAGUGGUCGGGACGAUUAUUGGGCCUAAAGCAUCCGUAGCCGGUCCUGCAAGUCCUCCGUUAAAUCCACCCGCUCAACGGUUGGGCCGCGGGGGAUACUACAGGGCUAGGAGGCGGGAGAGGCAAGCGGUACUCGAUGGGUAGGGGUAAAAUCCACUGAUCCAUUGAAGACCACCAGUGGCGAAGGCGGCUUGCCAGAACGCGCUCGACGGUGAGGGAUGAAAGCUGGGGGAGCAAACCGGAUUAGAUACCCGGGUAGUCCCAGCUGUAAACGAUGCAGACUCGGUGAUGGGCUGGCUUCGUGCCAACCCGGUGCCGCAGGGAAGCCGUUAAGUCUGCCGCCUGGGGAGUACGGUCGCAAGACUGAAACUUAAAGGAAUUGGCGGGGGGGCACCACAAGGGGUGAAGCCUGCGGUUC